CACAGAUCCCACGUGUUUCUCUCCCUUGCUCAAGACUGUCUGGCGGCCUUCUCCUUGCUCUCGGAGUGAGGUCUAAACCCCUCAGCACGGACACCAGGCCCCACGGGGUCUGCAGCUGCCCCUCACUUCCUCUGGGUCAUCUCCCCUCAAGCUCACUGCUCCCAGCACCGCCCCUGCACACUGCGGCUCCUCCUGCCUCCCUGUCUGUACCCACCGUGUGGAGGACCCCUCAUCAGCCUUCAGACUUCAGCUGAAGCGGCACCUCCUCCCAGAGGAUCUCCCUGUUUAUCUCAUUUAAAGAUGGCCCGCUGCGUGUGCGCUUUUGAAAAUUGCACCAUAAUUCGCUUACUAUAAAAUGGGCCCUCUUAAAAGGAUACACUUCAGUGGCUUUUAGUAUAUUCACAAGGUUGAACAACCAUGACCACUUUCCAAUUUCAGAAUGUUCUCAUCACCCCAAAAGGAAACCCUAUCCCCGUAAGCAGUCUCUCCCUGUUCCUCCCUCUUCCCAGGCCCUGGCAACUGUAAAGCUGCUUUUUCUCUCUCAGGACCUGCCUCUUCUGGACAUUUCGUAUAAAUGGAAUCGUGUAAUAUGUGGCCUUUCGAGCUGGGCUUCCUUCACUCAACGUCAUGUUUCCAAGAUCCAUCCCCAUUGAAGCUGGUGUCGGAGCCUCACUGCUUUCUGCGGGUGGGCUGGACCUGGUGACUUGCUUCUACCUGAUAGAAUACAGCAAGAGUGAUGAGAUGUCACUUCCGAGAUUAGGUUGGACGGAUGGUGACUUCCAGCUUGUUAGUCUUCUCUCGGGCUCUUCUUGUUUGCUUGCUCUGGUGAAGCCAGCCACCAUAUGGUGAGUUGCCCUGUGGAGAGGCCCAUAUGGCAGGGAGCUGAGGGAGGCCUUUGGGUAACAGCCUCUGAGAAACUGAGGCCCUCAGUUCAGUAGCUAGUGAAGAGCUCAAUCCAGCCCACAGCCACUGAGCAAGCUUGGAAGAGGACCCUUCCCUGGGGCAGCUUUGUGCUAUUGUAAUAUAAUAAAGAGUGUAUAUCUGGUUUUCAUCUAGGGUUCCUGGCAUAGAGUUUCUAAAACCACUGGAAUUUCCUAAGUAAAAGGGGUGAGAGAAGUGUCUUUUGUUACUCAUAAUAAGCCCCCUUCAACCAUACUUGAGUUUAUUCUAAUGAGGUGACUCAUGGAGGUUGGGGGCUGGUAGCCAGAGGAACCAACCACGUGAUUGAGGGUUGCAACUUUCAGCCUCACCCCCAACCUCCAGGGAGGAGAGAGGGGCCAGAGAUUGAGUUCAAUCACCCAUGGCCAAUGAUUCAGCCAAGCAUGACUAUGUGAUGGAACCUCCAUAAAAACAUUGGGUCUCAUGAGAACAACAGAAUACAGAGAGCUGGUUUGGUGGACAUAUGGAGGCUCUGGGAGGGUGGUGGGCCCAGAGAGGGCAUGGAGCCCCUCUCCCAUACCUCGAUUAUACAUCUCUUCGAUUUGGCUUUUCCUGAGUUGUAUCCAUUAUAAUAAACUGGUAAUGGUAUGUAGAUUGUUUUCCUGAGUUCUAUGAGCCAUUCUAGCAAAUUAUUUAACUUGAGGAGGAGAUUGUGGGAACCUUCAAUGUAUAGCUGGUCUGUCAUUAGUGCAGGAGGCCCUGGACUUUCAACUGACAUCUGAAGUGGAGGCAGUCUUGUGGGAUCCCUUAACAUGUGGGAUCUGCAUUAACUCCAGGAAGAUAGUGUCAGAAUUAAAUGGAAUUGUAGAACACUCACUUGGCGUCCAG
Molecule: long non-coding RNA, 1767 nt
Filed under: Homo sapiens (human)
Lineage: Eukaryota; Metazoa; Chordata; Mammalia; Primates; Hominidae
Description: HSALNT0177499
Source: RNAcentral